Molecule: long non-coding RNA, 323 nt
Filed under: Capsella grandiflora
Lineage: Eukaryota; Viridiplantae; Streptophyta; Magnoliopsida; Brassicales; Brassicaceae
Description: long non-coding RNA (CGRA_LNC000868)
Source: RNAcentral
ACAAUUUAAGAAUGUACACUUUAUAACCAUUCAUCCAUCGUUGCACAAGAGAAACUCAAAGAACAACACAAAGUGGGUGCAAACAAUGCAGUCAAAGCAAUAAUUCAAAUUAAACAUUUAGAUAGGCCAACUUAAAGACUUAAAGAUAACAUGAUAGAUAGACUCACUAAUGCAAAACCAAACAAACUACUUGCAGACACACAUGCAAAAUCUAACUAGACCACUAAAAUUAUUUAAUUCCUCUCAAGCAACAAACCCAAAUUAGAAAGUUUUCAUCUUCAAUUCAAGAGUCGAAUGAUCGAUGAAGAGGGAAGAAUUUGUAG